GGUUGCGGUCAAGAAUUACGGCUAAGCGAACAUACGGAUCCCAAGUUAGGAUCUUUACAAAGCUUAGGGGAAAGUCUCCGAGCCACAACAAAUACCUAGAAAGUAGGGCCCUUGACUGGGUGGGUUGUGCUUCACACUGGCCAGAAUGAGUAUUUACUCAUUUGAGUGUUUGUAGCAAGGGUCCUCUUCGGAGUUGAUGCUUGCUAUUUAGCACCCAGAUGAUGUGCUUUAGCCUUCAGGUGUGGUCACAACUUUUAGCUAUAUCAAAGUUAUGUAAUUGCCGCUACCAAGGUAACUUGGCCGGUGGUAACAGAAUGGAGCUCACUCUGAUUGCAAU
This 337-nucleotide RNase MRP RNA is filed under the name Stylonychia lemnae. RNAcentral describes it as "RNase MRP". It matches the Rfam family "RNase MRP". From Rfam's summary of the family: RNase MRP is an enzymatically active ribonucleoprotein with two distinct roles in eukaryotes. In mitochondria it plays a direct role in the initiation of mitochondrial DNA replication. Lineage: Eukaryota; Ciliophora; Spirotrichea; Sporadotrichida; Oxytrichidae. The record is from Rfam by way of RNAcentral.